GCUCCAGUGGCGCAAUCGGUCAGCGCGCGGUACUUAUAAUGCCGAGGUUGUGAGUUCAAGCCUCACCUGGAGCA
This is a non-coding RNA of Sebastes umbrosus (honeycomb rockfish), 74 nucleotides long. NCBI's taxonomy places the organism in Eukaryota, Metazoa, Chordata, Actinopteri, Perciformes, Sebastidae. The record is from the annotation of a RefSeq genome assembly.